RNAcentral lists this ribosomal RNA (331 nucleotides) under uncultured eukaryote. RNAcentral's name for it is "partial 18S ribosomal RNA". It matches the Rfam family "Eukaryotic small subunit ribosomal RNA", at positions 1470 to 1796 of the family's 1831-position model. The record is from RNAcentral.
CCCUUAGAUGUUCUGGGCCGCACGCGCGCUACACUGACGAAGUCAGCGAGCAUGUCCUACGCCGACAGGUGCGGGGAAUCUUGUCAAACUUCGUCGUGAUGGGGAUUGAUUAUUGAAAUUCUUGAUCAUCAACGAGGAAUUCCUAGUAAGCGCAAGUCAGCAGCUUGCGUUGAUUACGUCCCUGCCCUUUGUACACACCGCCCGUCGCUACUACCGAUUGAAUGGUUUAGUGAGAUCUUCGGAUUGGCGCCACUGCGGCUCAGCAAUGGGCUCGGUGGAUGCCGAAAAGUUGAUCAAACUUGAUCAUUUAGAGGAAGGAAAAGUCGUAACA